Molecule: ribosomal RNA, 468 nt
Filed under: uncultured bacterium
Lineage: Bacteria
Description: partial 16S ribosomal RNA
Rfam family: Bacterial small subunit ribosomal RNA
Source: RNAcentral
GACGAACGCUGGCGGCGUGCUUAACACAUGCAAGUCGAACGGAAAGGCCCUGCAUUUGUGGGGUGCUCGAGUGGCGAACGGAUGAGUAACACGUGAGUAACCUGCCCUUGACUUUGGGAUAACUUCCGGAAACUGGGGCUAAUACCUGAUAGGAGCUCCUGCUGCAUGGCGGGGGUUGGAAAGUUUCGGCGGUUGGGGAUGGUCUCGCGGCUUAUCAGCUUGUUGGUGGGGUAGUGGCUUACCAAGGCUUUGACGGGUAGCCGGCCUGAGAGGGUGACCGGCCACAUUGGGACUGAGGUACGGCCCAGACUCCUACGGGAGGCAGCGGUGGGGAAUAUUGCACAAUGGGCGGAAGCCUGAUGCAGCAACGCCGCGUGCGGGAUGACGGCCUUCGGGUUGUAAACCGCUUUCGCCUGUGACGAAGCGUGAGUGACGGUAAUGGGUAAAGAAGCACCGGCUAACUACGUG